This 839-nucleotide long non-coding RNA is filed under the name Felis catus (domestic cat). RNAcentral's name for it is "lncRNA (ENSFCAG00000049817.1)". Lineage: Eukaryota; Metazoa; Chordata; Mammalia; Carnivora; Felidae. The record is from RNAcentral.
AUGCUUGCAACGUUCCUCCCACCCACUCCAAGGCAUCCAAACUCUUCUAGGUUGUUUUUUGUUUUUUCGCACUGGAACUUUUCCUCCAUAAACCUGAACUUUCCUGAAGGCCCUCUUGUCUGCAAAUAUCUGCCCAAGUCUGUGUUUUCCAGGCACCACGAGCAAAAAGGGUUAGAUCUGGUUCACAGGAUCCUGCUGGUUCCACUGGGGUCUAUCUGCCUAUUAUCCAGUUCACAGUUUCACAAAAGGAAGCUGGAAUCAGAGACAUUGAAUGAGUUAAGCUCGAAAUUGGGAAGUCAAACCCCAAAGUCCGUGCUUCUCCUUAUUACCAUGCUACCACCCAGAAAGAGAGAAGGGAGGCCCAAGGGCAAUGUGGCAGAAGAUAACACAAGCACUUACUUCCUGUUCCGAGGCAUAUAUCUAAAGCACGGGUUCCAUUUCUCAACCGGCUGUGACCUUGAUCCAUGACCAAGCCCCUUGAGCAGAAUGUUUUCAUAUGAACAGUAAGUAUAAGAAGAGCGGUUUCACUGCCUAGUGACAAGGUUCAAAUGAGAUAACAUGAAAGUCUUUGCCAGCAUGUGAAGCUCCUAGUAAAUGUUAAAAUAUGUUGUUCUUGGGGCGCCUGGGUGGCGCAGUCGGUUGGGCGUCCGACUUCAGCCAGGUCACGAUCUCGCGGUCCGUGAGUUCGAGCCCCGCGUCAGGCUCUGGGCUGAUGGCUCAGAGCCUGGAGCCUGUUUCAGAUUCUGUGUCUCCCUCUCUCUCUGCCCCUCCCCCAUUCAUGCUCUGUCUCUCUCUGUCCCAAAAAUAAACGUUGAAAAAAAAAAUUAAAAAAAAAAUAU